AUAAAUUGUUGAUAAGAACCAUUCUUGUCCUCCAUUUUGUUCUUACUUCAGUGAAACAAUGAAGGUUCCUUUCUGUGUAGUUUGUUUAGUGUUUGUUUACCUGGCAGGUUCUACUUAUGCUCAACUAAUUACACCAAUGAUGGCUUGUGAGUUUAAAUGCAUCCAUGACAAGACAGGCGGGAGUUCAGUUUCCUUUGAGUCACCAAUAUAUACAGACUGUCGGGAUUACUGUUUGAAACAUGCAUACGAUAACAUGGGAAACCUGGGAACACUAGGAUGAGAAGUCGUCCUAACUAGCACAGUAACCGUUAACAAAGAAUUAAAUAAUAAAGAUUUAAUUUUCACUC
This is a long non-coding RNA of Mytilus trossulus (common blue mussel), 347 nucleotides long. RefSeq lists it as uncharacterized. NCBI's taxonomy places the organism in Eukaryota, Metazoa, Mollusca, Bivalvia, Mytilida, Mytilidae. The record is from RefSeq and is a predicted model, not a curated record. The transcript has 3 exons.